Long non-coding RNA from Oreochromis niloticus (Nile tilapia), 11572 nucleotides. RefSeq lists it as uncharacterized. NCBI's taxonomy places the organism in Eukaryota, Metazoa, Chordata, Actinopteri, Cichliformes, Cichlidae. The transcript has 2 exons. The record is from RefSeq and is a predicted model, not a curated record.
AGCCCCCCCUUUGGAUGGCGACACCACGCGAGUCUGUCAACUCCCAACUUUCUUCUUUUUCUUCCAAAUAGGAAGCCGUCACUUUCACACUUGAUCAAUAACAAGUCGGCUGUUGUAUGCCAGGAUAUGGGCUCGCAAGAUACCGGCAGGAAUUAAAAAAGACGGUCCACCGCAGUGCUCUCUUUUUUGUUAUUCUUUCUUUGUGCUUAAAAACGUCCUCAUUUCACAUAUUUGCGUUAAAUCAACAGACUGACGCCCCGCGAUCUCCGUGCGCCUUGCAUUAAAAUCGGCAGUUGGGGUUUCAAAUGGAUUACUACAGUUGUGCAAGUCGACUUUCUAACGCACGACGAUUGUUGCAUUGGUAAGACAGCAUAGCCUGUGACAAAAGUAAAAGUAAGAUGGCGCAAAUUGUCCUCGAGCGACAACUGUGUGAGAAUAGUUUUGUAGGUGAGAAUUUUUUUUUUUUUUAAUCAUGUCGACGGUUUUAUGUUUUAAUUGUGAACGCGUGGUCGUCCACUCCGUGAUCACGGGUAUUUGCUUAUUUUAUUUUAUUUUAUUUCAAAUUAUUCUGAAAUGAACCAGUCGGAUAAGCUACACUGCCAGAAACUCAUGAACCCUCAAACCAGGGCAGAACAGUGCCAAGUGCACCGAAUCUCACCGGACAAACUGUUGUAAUCUCAUUUGAUCGCUGUAGAUGCAUUUCUGUUCCUGAAAUUCUAAAGAGUGUUUAAUGUACCGCGUUUAUCGUUAAUUAGUUAAAUAUAUUUAAUAAAGAUAAGUCCAGGCAUCAUUAUUAAAUAUAAUAAUUAACGGUCAUUAUUAAUAUUAUUAUUAUUAUUAUUAUUAUUAUUAUUAGGACAUAAAUAUCGUUCUUUCACAAGUAUGGAAUACUAACUUGGCUUCAAAAUAUGAGCUGAAUUUUAUUAUUUUGUUUAGUAUGUUUCAAACAUCUAAAAGCCCAUUCUCAUUCUGGUGACUUUCCAGUUCAAGUCUCAGAUAAGCCGAAAGGGAUCGCUGUAGGCGCUGCUAAAGAGUGUGUGUGCACAUAUUGUCACGUGUUUCUUACGUUCCGAAAACCUCUAGAGAGCAAAGAAUGAUGACGCUGGUACAGUGGGAGAAGACUCAGACUUACGAGGGAGAGAAAGAGGGGAAAAAAAAGAGAAAGAUGGAUACACAAAGCGAUCCUACAGUAUAGCCUAAUCAGAUGACAGUGAUACCAUGAGCCCUAGUUUCACAGCGCCCUGUAGUGAUUAGACACUCAAGUAAUUAUUGGAACUUUUCUCAUAAUAACAGCUACAAGGGGAGCAAUUCGAAUCAGCUGGUACUAAUAUAUAUAUUCGCUUUUUAAUUUACGUUAAAGUUAAAAUAAAGCAGCAGCGUUAAACAGCCUCCUUAUUAGAGACGUAAGUGUAUUUAAUAGUGGAGUGAUUGUGUGCCACGAGCGAUAAAAUUCCCACAACUGGAAUAUUGUGCCUUGUGGGUUGUUUCAUCCCGAAAUAUUUACUUUAUCUAUUUAUUUCAUAAGAUAUAAGGAAAAAAAAGUUUUGAGGGCCUAGGAUGAAGGGUCUGUGUCAUGUGUCCUCCUUAAUGCGUUUUGGUUCAGAGUUGCUCUCUGAAGUAGGAGGAGGACCCAUAAUUUGAGAUCACGGAGCCUAUAAUAGGAGUAGGGUUAUGGCAACUGCUACCGCCUCUCAGCACUGCUCCGAUAAAGGAGGAGGUAUAGGUGAGUACAGUUUUGUUCAUUUGUGUGUGUUUUUUAAAUGUAUUUGAACUACGCAAGUGUUCGCAAUAGUCUGAGUUUAAUCUUCAUUUAUAUUUUAAUUAUUCUGAUAUUAUCUGACUUUGUCUCUUCCUAUUCGCUAUCACUUCUUCUUCUUCCUCUUUCCCCCCUGAGUGAACUGCCUCCGUUUUGACGCAUGGAAACGUUUUUAAGUGGCAAAGAAGAAUUGAAUGAAAGAUGAUGCAUGCCACUUAAAAUGCCUGAGGGAGCAAGCGUAAUCUAAAUUGGAUAUAGAAGCUAUUAUUACACAACAUUAUGCGUUGUGGCGGACUAAUUGCGUGGCUGGGUGAGUUAAACAGUCAGUUAAUGUCGAGUGGCAGACAGGUUUCUGGAGCGCACAAGGUCAGCUGUACUGCUCCCAAGCCUUUAGUGGUAUACAGAAAAAUGCUUGAAGUAUUCAUGGGAUUUUUAACCAUUCUAAAUCUGUGUCCUAAACCGAUUAGUUGACACCAAUUUUUCUUUGAUGUAUUAGCUGAGGGCUUUUGCCACUUGGAAGCCAAUUGAAAUUCAAAACAGUUUUCGCUCCAAAUGCUGUGGGGAGAUCUGCUGCAAAUAAUGGAUGUAAUUUAUUUUUGACCUUGCUUUUUUUUUUUUUCUUUUUUUAAAAGGGAGGGUUGUUAAAUGAUUAAACAUAUGUGCACUACGCUCUCGACUAAACAACUAGCAUUUGAUUGGCUAUUAUUAGUUUUGCAUUAUAGAGCUGUAAAUUUCCAUAUUUCUUAAAGUGUUAUAUAAGUGAUAAGCAUGACUAAAAUUGUUAUUCCUUUUUUUUAAUACCCAAUUCACUCUUAAAAAGUUGCUGUUCCUGGUGUUAUUUUUCCUAAAUGAAUUAAAAAAAUAAUAAUUGACUCUUUGUUUUUGUUUUUGAAUCCCAGAUCCAUGUUGAUGAAGUCACCAAGCAGUCAGUGAAAUGCACCCUAACCUUCAAACACACAAGCACCCUUGCAAUUACAGCUUAAGUUAAACAACCUUGUUCACAUUUUGAAAUGAUAAUUAAAAAACACAUACUCAAAAAGUCAGUUCUGUGUUUAUAUAACUGUAAUAAUUUAUCCGUUUUUUAACUCUUUUAUAGUUUUUAAAUAUGCUGCAUUGCUGCUAUUCCCGUGAUUUUAUUCGAGAUAGAAUCCCUUAAUGUUUUACGUAGUAUCACCACUUUUGCUCAUACAAACUGAUGCCCAUGAUUCGAUGGGUUGAUUUGACUUUAAUAAUCAUACAAUUUACAUGAAGCACAAUAAUUCAAUAUGGCUUUCAGGGGAGAGAAUCUAUUUUCUGAUCUCCUUUCUGUUCUUGUGAUCUCUUUUUCUUUUAUUGACCUGAAUGAAGAUGUAUGGAGUGAGAGUGUGUGUGUCUUUGGUUUCCUCCUGAUGGGGUAUAUCAGCUCCCCCCUCUUCUCCCUACUCCCCACGAUCCCCGCAAGGCUGAAUGGCAGGCCUCUGGAUUGGCUAAGUGAUGAAAUGAUGACCCUAUUAUGGGAAGCGAUUCCAAAAUGAGAGAUAUCAGAAGAAGAUUACACCCCUCUCUCACUGCCACGCCAUCCUCCUGCAAUACACUGCCAGCUGCGCAGAUGAUGAUUGAUUCGCUUGAGAUGGAUCACAGGAAGCACCCAUUGAUUUUUCUGUGUUUUAUCAAAAAUAUUUAUUUACAGUUGUAUCCAUAGGGUGUAUCCAGACUCAACCCAUACUUCGUUCUCCAAAUGGGGGUUGGUAUAAAAGGGAUAAUUCCCCCUGUUCCAUGACAAGACGAAUGACCUGAAGUAUUAUUUCAGAAAUGAGUCAAUAGGCUCAGUGAGUAAAUGAAUAUUGAUUGGAUAUAAUGAAGCCUGAGUGUGAAUAUGAGCCCUGUUGCAGACUUCACUGCAGUGAUGCUGAUCCUCUCCAACUGAGUAUUUUGCAGACCUGCAUGUGCAGCUGGGACCAAAUACACCUCAUUCAGAGGGUGAAUCAACACACUCAGCAUUCAACUUUUCCUGUGUAUUUUGAUUCAUGAUCUGAGAGUGUCCAUACUUGACUCGCUUCUUAUCAGAUCUAUGGCUAAAUAGCAUGUUUAUGGUGAAGGUGCUAUAGGUGCCAUAUGGCAAUAAUCCAAGACUCAUGUUACUUAAAAGCUCUGGAGACAUGUAGGAGGCAUUUCUGUGUCACCUUUACAAAGGUAAACUGAUACAACAUACAAAUCAAAUGACAACUAGAAUGCUAAAACCACAGUGUGGGAGCUGUGCCCUAGAUAUUUGCACUGACUUAAUCCAAUUGAAAUAGUAUGAGUGAGUUGCAGGGGCUCCCAGGUCUGUUGCUUGCUUAUGUAUGUGAUGCAUAAUAGAAGUUGACGAGGUUGGUGAUAGAUCACAGCCCAGGUAAUGUAAACACAUUAAUCCCUCAGGGUUCAUGUGCAUGUUCUUUCUCUCCUUUUCUCUUAUAUCAGUCCCUCUCUCUCUAUCUGUCUCUCUCUUUCUCUCUCUUCAAGCCCUCAUCCUCCCCCCUCCACGUUCAUCAUCUUCCCUAAACGCGUUAGUGGAGCACAAACCAGAAGCAGCCUUAAUCUGUCAACAUGCCCUUUAAUUGGAGGGAGAAAACAACACGUGCUUCUGGUUAUGCCAUUCCUAAGUGCACAUGCCAAAGAAACACAGAGUUCAUGGAAGAAGUGAUCCCGGGAGAGCAGGGCAUAAUUAAAAGUAUCUUUUAAUAGGCUUGUAAUGCUGAGCCUGACUCUUGUUGCUUUAAGUAGAGGGCGAACUCUGUGGCUGGAGACGGACAUGCAAGGGGCUUCUGCUGAGGGAGCCUGUAAACGAUACAUUGCCUCGUCGUCAUCAGACAUGCAGUCUCUGCCUCAGUCACCACACUCGAGAUGACAGCCACUUUCCACCCCUGCCGCGGACACCUUGGCUUACCCGUUGCCGUGUUCUUUUGUUCUCAGAAUGAGAGAUUCUCCUCCACGACAUCACCUCUCCUCAUCUCCUUCCCAGCCACUUUGGCAAGUUGUGUUCUACCUCCUACUCACAGCACCAGCGGGGAGCGAGAACUGGGACUAAGGGGUUGAUUUGGGGCCUGCUACACUGUAAUCAAAUGAGACUGCUUAGGGGAGAGGAGAAGGAGGAGGUGGAGUAUUAUGUUCUGUCGUGCAUUCCACUGCAGCAUUGUUGCUUUUUUGUUUUUGUCAGGGCAGGCUUUGAUGCUGUAUCCUCUUACCUUUGUAGUCCCGGUAGCCAUGUUUCAUAAACACGGAAUGGGAAACAUCCUCAGCAUUAGAAAUUUAGAUUGCUGCUUUCCUCCUGCCACUCUGCAUUCCGCACGUGCCCGGUCGCAUUCUCCAUCUCCCAUUGCUGAGGUAUUAAGUUUCCUCUCCCAUGCCUCUGAUACAUUUAAACAUCUUACAAUCAGUCCCUUUUAUUCGGUGUGUCAUGUAUAAUCUGCGGAAACAACAAUGCCAACAUGGCUCUAUGUUGCUCUCGCUCUCUUGGUACUUAAGAAGUCUCCUGUCACUGUUUUGUUUCAGGACAAUUGCACAUGCAAAAUGCUUACUUGCUUUAAAUUGAGAAGUUGCUAGGUAUUCAAUUUAGAACUUGUCUUCAUUAUUAAGAGUGUAAUAUUAAUGUCAAGCUAAGAAAUCUAUAGUACAUUGCUUUCUUUGUAUUUUCACACAGGGAAUAGGCAGUGCGUGGUUGUCUUUGUAGUUAACCGAAAGUCUCAGUGGGAUAACAGUGUAUUAUAAUCCUUAAUCUAUCUUAACUCAUUAAAAUGCGGUGUUCAAUUCUGCUGCCCACGUUUUAUUGUCUCGUUGCAAUUUUAGUGAUAUGAGAGAAAUUUCAUGCAUAAUUGAAUAUUUAAAUGUCAAACAUUCACGAGAAUCAUUGCAAAAUCCUGAAAUUACUGCCACAUAUGGGUAUAUAAUAUAUACUUAAGAAAAAAAAGUUAGAUAAGAUGCAAAUCUAUAUUUGUCAGCAGAAUCGUCCUCUGUAACACACUGUGCCUCAGUUCUCUCUUUUCUUCUACCUCUUCUUCUUCUUGGAAAGUAACCAUUUUGUCCGACAUCUGACACACUGCCCUGGGUUAUUGAGCCAGACGUGGAAAUCCAAAGCGGAGAUGCUCUCCUUAAUGCCUGACACCUGGUGCAGAUUUGGAAGGGAUUGCACUACAGGUACUGUCUUACCUCUUCACCAAUCCCAGAAAGUCCCUUAGGUAUUUCCUUUUCUUUCCACGGCUGUGUUUGUUUCUACUCUUCUUUGCCACCCAGGUAUCAAGCCUCUGUUAGCUGGCCCCUGUGUUGGGAUUAAGUUCAGAAGGUGUUGAAAAUGAUACUUAUCAUCCCUUUGAUAAAUAUGAUUCUGAUUUGUUCAGGGUGUGCUUUACAAGUGGACGCUACUCAGGAGUGUUGCAGCUCAACUUACCGCUUGCAGUCACAUCUGCAGACUGUUCUGGAGCAGAAUGGCUAGCGAACAUAAACACAGCAAGGACAUCAAAGGCCGGCAGGUUGGGCUAUACCACCUGAGCAUGCUGAUUGCAGUGCAGUUCAGUAUCAUCUGACUAGUGAAAAGAGAAGAUUUUGUUGCACCAAGUUGAGACAUUUAACAGAAGGUUCCAACCAGAAUUUUUUGUUUGUUUGUUUAAAAAAUAAAUGAAUAAAUAAAAGCUCGAAACACAAGCCUUUUGGCCUAUGAAUGGCAAAUUAUAACUCAGUCCUGGAUAACUCAAGCAACACAGAUAAACUGUGAGCUGUACGCCACAAUAAUGUAACAGUCUUUCCUGGAUAAUAAUAUAAUAAGCAAGAUAAGCAAGUGCACACUUGGUGAGCUUCAUAGGCACACUGUUUAUGUUGACACAUGCAACUCUCUUCCUGAUGCAAAUGCAAUCUAAACAUUAAGCAAAGGGAAGGCAAGCGUAGCCCAUAAAGGCUGUGAGCUCCAAACACUUUGAACAGACAACUAUCACUAAUCACUCCCAGAGCAGUGCGGCGUGUAAUUACUCUGCCAAACGUUUGCCUUUCACAGCUUAGCACUGGGAGCCCUGACCCUGCGCUUCCCUGUCUUUCCUCACCACCGUGCAUGUGGAAGGGGAGGACCCCCACCACCCCCCGCCUGCUCCUCUUUCCCCUUUCUCUUUAGCAAGGGGAAAGGCAAGCUGAGCUCCCUCUCAGUAUUUAGAAAAAGAGUUGGGGGGGGAGAGGGGGGGAAAAAGAGAGGGAGAAAGACAGGAAGGGAGAAGACUGAGGUUGGUGCUUCCGGCUUUGUGGGAGCCCAUUUAAACAGGCUUUGAAACCCUAGCCAUCCGGAGAUCAGAAAUAGCCUUAUUGACUGCAUGGGCCCAGAAGUGACUGAGCACACAGGGUUCUUAAGAGUUCACUCUUCCUCGCCGCUUGGAACAGGGGGGUGGGCACCACAUGCUGAGGCCCUCUACAAAGAUUUUGGACAUAAAUUUUACAUCAGGAGAAAAUAUUAUUUUUACAGCUAUUUUUAGUGUCGCAUGGUUGUAUCUCAAUUUUUGUGCUGUUGUAUGAUUUGUGUGUGUGUGUGUGGUUUUUAUUUUAGUUAUUUUUUAUUUUAUUUUUUGGAGUGACAGACAUCUAAUUCUACUCUUUCCCUCAGUCUUAUUUAUUGAUAUUAGUAAUGCAGCUGUCAUUCUGCAAUGAGAUCUGUCCUCUGUCUGGGUGAAUGCUGAUAAGAUGACACAAUGCAAAUAUGAAGUGUGAUGGAGCCGCCUUGGCAAGCAGGUACAGAGUGUGCAGGGACCAGCAUCCCAUAAUGACUAUUAGCUGGAUUUCACAGCCUGCUUCUGAUCUCUUUCAGUGACAGGGGCCUUUAUAAGAGGCUGGGUGUGUCACUGCCCCUCCUAAUGGCUCUCAUAUACAUGUGCAUAUGCACCCAAAUGGCAGAUACACAAAGAGGAAUAUUAUACAAGACACUGUACAAUAAGUUUAAUGCUAUUUGGCAUCACUGUGGACUUUAAAAAAACAAAGGCAAUUUUUUGUAUCACAGAAAUGGUGAUAGAUUUUCUCCUUUUUUAUUUUUUAUUUUUUAUGAAUAAAUGAAAUGAGAUUGCUAUAAAUUUUAAGCUGGCCCACUGGCACAAUGAAACUGAACUUCAUAGUAGAAAUGAUCCUUUCAGCAUAUUAUCGAUACAUAACGUAUCUUUAUCUUAAUUUCACCACUAGUCAUCUUUACCAUAUUGUCAUAUUCUUCACCACUGCUGUAAAGGCUCAUUUAGACUCGCAGAAGCUUAAAGAGCUCUCUCAGUUGCUGCUUGUAUAAGCUUUUCAGAGAGUCCCGUUUUAUCACUGAUGUAGUAAUUUCACUUCAUCAGUCAGUUGUGACUAAAAAUACAUCAGGGAUUAGCUUCAUGGCCAGACUAUCUUCCGCUGCUUUGAUAACAUAAUGGGGGCUGGUGCUUGUGGUUACAAUCAUCUGAUAUAGGUUCAUAACAUUCGAAACUACACUUACAAUACUACGGGCUUUUUGAAAGAGAAGAAUAGAGUGUGAUCUUCUUAAACUCUCAUGAAAAUUGUGUGUUUUCCCUUUUAAUUCCUUUGUAGGAGCAUUUUGCAAAGAUGAAAAUGGCUCCCACCCCCACUCGUUCCCCUUUCCAGUUUCUAUUCUACACAAAUUAGCUAUGGUCCUGGAGGGCAAAAUGACAAGAGGUUACUGGAAGACUAUGUGUUUAAUUAAUUGAAAAAUGCUUAAAUUGCUUUUACAGUUGUUAUGUGGAGUGAAAAAAGGGAAUCCAUGUUGCCAGUACUCAACCAUAAUUAGCACCCGCGGGAAUUAAAUAUUUAGCAUUAGCUGUGUUGCGGCACUUAGGACACAAAUUUCUAUUUUAACUAUGAAAGCGAGCCUGUCUUAAGUGCAUGAGUCUGUGUGGACAGCUGUGCAAAGGGGAACAGCACAGGAUAUUUCAGCGAGACACCCCAGUGGCAUUUCGGGUCCUUCCACAUCACAUGUGUAAGAGAUAUGGCAGUUGUAUUCCCAGGGGUUAGGCAUUACUCAGAGUAUUUAGUUUUCUAAUUAGGCUGAGGGCCUUCGUCCAUGCCUACCACCACCAUGGGAGCCAAUGAGAAUUUCCUCUCUUAUGUGUCAACUCUGAGACACAGAAAGAGGGGGGAAAAAACAGGAAUGAAAAGAAGGAGAUAAAGAGGACGCAUGUGUGAAAAUGAGAGAGAGAUGUACACACGGUUGAGGGAGAAAUAAAAGACCUGCAGAAAAGCCUUUGUUUAUUCCAACUUUAAUUACACAUUGCAUUUAAUGACUCCACUGGUGUGUUUGAGGCUGGAGAGGGAGAAGCUGUGGAGCCUUAAUGAUCUGUAGUAGUGGAUGUCAGCCGAGCCGUUGGAGACUUAAAGCCCAUUUUUAAAACUCCCUUUUUGUUUGGGCCUAGAGGCGACAGCGCAAAUGGAGUUCAUGCUAAGCCACACUAGGCUAGACUUAGGGACUACUUCACUGUCUGGUCAGCCAAUUUCACAAAGGGCCAGGCCAUUUGGAGGCAUCAGCAGCUGACCGCAGCAACUGUUAAACUUGUCAGUGUGCAUCAGGUUACCCACUAAUGAGAAGUAAUAAAGGUUAUCCCAACUUUUUAAGUGUUUGAUCUUUGUGCGCAGUGGGAUUUAAACAUAACGUGUGGAAGGUGAACCAAGAUUGGAAUUGGAAUUUGACCCCUAUGUUAUGUGUGAAUGAGGAUUUAGAAAUAGACACAAAUAAUUAAAAGCUCAAGCUCUGAAACUUGGAUGAAUAGUUUUAGAAUGUAACAUAUUGUGCACUUAACUGAUAUAUCGUGGAUUAUUACUUUUUGUGCAGGGAUGCAGGAUUACAGGAUUACAACCAGACUUGAAGAUUGUCUAAAAUCAUAGUGGUCAACAAUGUUUUCUGCCAAUAUACAACAAUCGGGCAGCAUAAGCCGUAUUUUUGAGAAAUUGCAUCUCGCUCUGGGGAAGCUGCAUUUUUACUAUAAUGUACUAAUGCUGGAUUGAAUCACUGAAUCAUGUUCAAUUAACACAACUGAAUGUAUGACCCUUUGAGAUGCAGUGUUAUUUGUUUUGACACACAGCUCUCAAAAAACGUACCCACCCCAUCUUCAGUGCAGAACGUUAAAACCCCUUGUUCUGUAAAACAAAUUCUCCGGAUUAUUCAAAGCUGUGAGAAUUAAGAUGGAAAAAUCCAUGCGUAAAAUUACCGUCCAUUCAACUUGAGGCAAUAUUUUCCUCUAGAGGCAAAUAUGUUAAUUGAGCUUCCUAAAGUAGCUCAAUCCUCAGGUUAUUUAAUUUCCCCAAAAGCCUUAGCUGUGCUGGGGUUGGUGGGGGGUGGUGAAUUCUUUACACCAGCAAUAUUGUCAUCAAGGGAAAAAUAGCAGCAAUGAGAAGAAAUGGAAAAGAGCAUACUGGUGGAGGUUGAAUAACUGUUAAGUCAUGAGGUAUAUAUAUAUAUAUAUACACAUAUACAUUAUAAAAUGAAUCAUGAGAUAAUGCAAAAAUUUCACUAAUGUUAAUGUAAAAGCAAGCUGCUAAAUCACUAGUUUUCUGCCAGAAAAUACAGUUUUGAAUAACUCUAAACUGAGCUUAACCUGCCAAAGAAUCAUCUUCAUAACUGUCAUGUCAUCUAAUUGCUUCUGUCUGUUUUCCCCAAAGGCUGUGUCCAGUUCUGUCACUGGUCCUUAGUGCUCCAGCAGCCUGGUCAAAAAGACAUCCUGGCAGGGUCCCAGGGUGGAUGCAUCGCCCACGCACGCUCCUCUUGCCAGAUCCCAGAAGUCUUUGUGGUGAACCACUGACCGUGCUGCUCCCUAUUUUCUUCCAGCCCAGCAAAUAAUGUGUCAGAAAAAGAUUAUUGAUAGCCCAUAAAAGAAGAGGCAGAAUGUUGUUGCCGCUCUGCUCCAACUUUAAAGAACAAUACAAGUGCUAAACCAUCAGUUUCAAUGGUGCACUGCUCCUGAAAGAGCACAGCAUUUAUUUUUCACAUUGUUGUUCAGUUUGAAUAAAAGGUGCUACAACUGGAACAUGAACAGACAACAAUUACUUCUAUUUUUUAAAUGCUGCUUCAUUUUCCUUUACAUUUGAAACCUUGUAGUGAGGUUGGCAACUUUGCACUGUCUAUUCAAAAGAAAAAUGAGAUCCCUCAAAAGGAACAUUUAAAUUUUCUCCAUGCUCCGUUGAGUCAUUCGCAUUUUUUGCCAACUUUACCAGACACUGGCGAAGCUGUUGCUCAUCUGGCCUAAAUGUGGCCUGAGUGGGUGAUUCUCAGACAGAUGAGGGAAGGUAUAUUUACAGAAUUAACGAUGCACUCCAUCGGCCACACAACAGCUGCCUGCUACACUUAGCUAAUUGAGACUGCAGGCCCAUUCCCAUUUGCAGAGCACCGUGAUUGAACAGUUGGGCAGCUUUAUGUGUGUUUUUGGUCUCCUCGCGCUCGAAAUCAACACUGACACUCCCAUGCAAAAACAAACACUUGUUCAAGCUGACUGUGUUGUGGCACCGCUUGUGAGAAGUCUGCCCUUUUUGUUGUUCAGUGUUUCACUUUUAACAUUGUUCAUCCGUCUUAUCAACAUGUUUGUUUUCAGGGAGGCAGCGCAUGAUGUGUUGGAGAGAUAGAGCAAGGUUCAUCUCAGCAGUAAUGCUGUUAAAUGAGAGAAGGAGCGGGUGUUUCAAGUCUGUGUGUGUAUAUACAACACUGUUUUGCUGUAAAAUCUGUGUUUAUGUUCACUGCAGGCAUAAUUCACAGUGUGUGUUAAAGGGCUCCGGGCCAUGCAGGCACGCGACUGGCAGCUUUUUCUCCCCAUUGUAAGAAAACAGGAAAAAAAAGAAUAAAAAAGGAGUUUGGAUAAAUAA